AAUUUAUUAUAUUAUUAUUGUUAUUUGUUGAUUUUGAUUUUUAAUAAAAGUAAUUUUAUAUUUUUUUGUUUGAGUAUAUUUUAUAGGAACAAUUUUUUUAAUAAUAGUUUAUUAGUAAAUUUAUUGGAUUAUUAAUUUUUUAAAAAAUAAUUAAAAGUAGAUUUAAUUUUUUUUACCUUUUGUAUCAGGGUUGAUCUAAAUUUUUAUUUUUAUAAAUAAAUCUCAAUUUAGAUUGAUUUACAAAUAAAUUAUAUUUAUUGUUUUAUAAAUAUUAUAAAUUUAUUUGUGGAAAUGAAAUGUUAUUCGUUUUCUAAGGUAUUUAGUUUCUUAAGAAAAAAUUUAAUUUUUUAAAUUUAAUGUUUUAAUUUAAUUUUUUAAAUUUAAUUAUUAAAUUAUUUAUUUUUUAGGGGAUAAGCUCUAAAAUAUUUUUCUAAAAUUUAUUAUUAUUUAAAUAUAAUUAUAAGCUUUAAACCAGCUAUUAUUUGAUUACGUUUUAGUUCAUUUUAUAUUAUUUAGAUUUUAUAAUUUAUUUAGUUUUUAUAUUAAGAUGUUUGAUUUAAUAAAAGAUUUUUAGUAAUAAUGAUUUAAUUAGUAUAUUUAUAUUGUUUGUAUUUUUAUUUUUUUUUAUUUUAUUAUAAGGAAUUAGGCAAAUAAAAAUUUUCGCCUGUUUAUCAAAAACAUGUCUUCUUGAAUAUAUUUUGAAGUCUAACCUGCUCACUGAUUUAUUGUUAAAGAGCCGCGGUAUUUUGACCGUGCAAAGGUAGCAUAAUCAUUAGUUUCUUAAUUGGAAUCUGGAAUGAAUGGUUUGACGAAAAAUUAACUGUCUCUUGAUAAAUUUUAGAAUUUAACUUUUAAGUGAAAAGGCUUAAAUGUUUUUUAAGGACGAGAAGACCCUAUAGAGCUUAACAUUAAUUAUUUAAUAUUUUUUUAUAGUUUAUUUUUUAAUAUUUAAUUUUAAUGUUUGGUUGGGGUGACAUGAAUGAUAGUUAAACUCUUCAUUAUUAAAUCAUUAAUUUAUGUUUAUUUGAUCCAAAAUUUUUGAUCAAAAGAUUAAGUUACCUUAGGGAUAACAGCGUAAUCAUUUUUGAGAGUUCAUAUCGAUAAAAUGGUUUGCGACCUCGAUGUUGGAUUAAGAUUAGUUAUAGGUGCAGUAGCUUUUUAACUUGGUCUGUUCGACCUUUAAAUUCUUACAUGAUCUGAGUUCAGACCGGCGUGAGCCAGGUCGGUUUCUAUCCUGAAUAAAUAAUAUUCAUAUUAGUACGAAAGGACCAUAUGGGUGAAAUAAUUUUUUAUUUUUGAUUAAAAUUAAUAAUUAU
RNAcentral lists this ribosomal RNA (1316 nucleotides) under Pternoscirta caliginosa. RNAcentral describes it as "large subunit ribosomal RNA". The stretch from base 876 to 1239 matches the Rfam family "Archaeal large subunit ribosomal RNA", at positions 2150 to 2716 of the family's 2987-position model. The record is from RNAcentral. Lineage: Eukaryota; Metazoa; Arthropoda; Insecta; Orthoptera; Acrididae.